RNAcentral lists this ribosomal RNA (501 nucleotides) under uncultured bacterium. RNAcentral's name for it is "partial 16S ribosomal RNA". The record is from RNAcentral.
GUAGUUAGCCGGGGCUUUCUAAUGGGGUACCGUCAUUUUUUCGUCCCCCACAACAGAGGUUUACAAUCCGAAAACCUUCUUCCCUCACGCGGCGUUGCUGGGUCAGGCUUGCGCCCAUUGCCCAAUAUUCCCCACUGCUGCCUCCCGUAGGAGUCUGGACCGUGUCUCAGUUCCAGUGUGGCCGAUCAGCCUCUCAGCUCGGCUACCCAUCGCAGGCUUGGUGGGCUGUUAUCUCACCAACUACCUAAUGGGACGCGAACCCCUCCUUCAGCGGAUUGCUCCUUUGACCUCAUCCCGAUGCCGGGUCGUGGUCUUAUGCGGUAUUAGCACUUGUUUCCAGGUGUUAUCCCCCUCUGAAGGUCAGGUUGUUCACGCGUUACUCACCCGUUCGCCACUAAAAUUUAUCUUCCAUCCGAAAACUUCUGAUAAAUCUCCGUUCGACUUGCAUGUGUUAGGCACGCCGCCAGCGUUCGUCCUCGAGCCACUAAUACAAACUACUGA